GGUUCGAUGGCGUAGCUGGUUAUCGCAUCUGUCUAACACACAGAAGGUCCCCGGUUCGAGCCCGGGUCAAAUCA
This 74-nucleotide transfer RNA is filed under the name Vararia minispora EC-137. Its description in RNAcentral is "tRNA-Val". It matches the Rfam family "tRNA". From Rfam's summary of the family: Transfer RNA (tRNA) molecules are approximately 80 nucleotides in length. Lineage: Eukaryota; Fungi; Basidiomycota; Agaricomycetes; Russulales; Lachnocladiaceae. The record is from RNAcentral.